AUAUCGCGACGUAGUUUGACUCCGUGGCUCGAGGACGAACGCUGGCGGCGUGCCUAACACAUGCAAGUCGAACGGAGCUGCCCUUCGGGACAGCUUAGUGGCGAACGGGUGAGUAACGCGUGAGGAACCUGCCUCUCAGUGGGGGACAACAGUUGGAAACGACUGCUAAUACCGCAUAACAUCUUCGGGUGGCAUCACUUGAAGAUCAAAGCUUUAUGUGCUGAAAGAUGGCCUCGCGUCUGAUUAGCUAGUUGGUGAGGUAACGGCUCACCAAGGCGACGAUCAGUAGCCGGUCUGAGAGGAUGAACGGCCACAUUGGGACUGAGAUACGGCCCAGACUCCUACGGGAGGCAGCAGUGGGGAAUAUUGGGCAAUGGGGGAAACCCUGACCCAGCAACGCCGCGUGAAGGAAGAAGGCCCUCGGGUUGUAAACUUCUUUUACCAGGGACGAAGAACGUGACGGUACCUGGAGAAAAAGUAACGGCUAACUACGUG
This 495-nucleotide ribosomal RNA is filed under the name uncultured bacterium. RNAcentral's name for it is "bacterial SSU rRNA". It matches the Rfam family "Bacterial small subunit ribosomal RNA", at positions 1 to 507 of the family's 1533-position model. The record is from RNAcentral.